GAUGAACGCUGACAGAAUGCUUAACACAUGCAAGUCUACUUGAAUUUGGGUUUUUUCCCUUAGAUUUGGGUGGCGGACGGGUGAGUAACGCGUAAAGAACUUGCCUCACAGCUAGGGACAACAUUUGGAAACGAAUGCUAAUACCUGAUAUUAUGAUUAUAAGGCAUCUUAGAAUUAUGAAAGCUAUAUGCGCUGUGAGAGAGCUUUGCGUCCCAUUAGCUAGUUGGAGAGGUAACGGCUCACCAAGGCGAUGAUGGGUAGCCGGCCUGAGAGGGUGAACGGCCACAAGGGGACUGAGACACGGCCCUUACUCCUACGGGAGGCAGCAGUGGGGAAUAUUGGACAAUGGACCAAGAGUCUGAUCCAGCAAUUCUGUGUGCACGAUGACGUUUUUCGGAAUGUAAAGUGCUUUCAGUUGGGAAGAAAAAAAUGACGGUACCAACAGAAGAAGUGACGGCUAAAUACGUG
RNAcentral lists this ribosomal RNA (468 nucleotides) under uncultured bacterium. RNAcentral describes it as "partial 16S ribosomal RNA". It matches the Rfam family "Bacterial small subunit ribosomal RNA", at positions 28 to 507 of the family's 1533-position model. The record is from RNAcentral.